Molecule: ribosomal RNA, 372 nt
Filed under: uncultured bacterium
Lineage: Bacteria
Description: bacterial SSU rRNA
Rfam family: Bacterial small subunit ribosomal RNA
Source: RNAcentral
UACGUAGGGUGCGAGCGUUAAUCGGAAUUACUGGGCGUAAAGCGUGCGCAGGCGGUUUUACAAGCCAGAUGUGAAAUCCCCGGGCUUAACCUGGGAACUGCAUUUGGGACUGUAAGGCUAGAGUGUGUCAGAGGGAGGUGGAAUUCCACGUGUAGCAGUGAAAUGCGUAGAUAUGUGGAGGAACAUCGAUGGCGAAGGCAGCCUCCUGGGAUAACACUGACGCUCAUGCACGAAAGCGUGGGGAGCAAACAGGAUUAGAUACCCUGGUAGUCCACGCCCUAAACGAUGUCAACUAGUUGUCGGAGGAGAGAUUCUUUGGUAACGCAGCUAACGCGUGAAGUUGACCGCCUGGGGAGUACGGUCGCAAGAUUA